UGGAAACUNUCUGACUUGAGUGCAGAAGGGGAGAGUGGANUUCCAUGUGUAGCGGUGAAAUGCGUAGAUAUAUGAAGGAACACCAGUGGCGAAAGCGGCUCUCUGNUCUGUCACUGACGCUGAGGCUCGAAAGCGUGGGUAGCGAACAGGAUUAGAUACCCUGGUAGUCCACGCCGUAAACGAUGAGUGCUAGGUGUUAGGCCCUUUCCGGGGCUUAGUGCCGGAGCUAACGCAAUAAGCACUCCGCCUGGGGAGUACGACCGCAAGGUUGAAACUCAAAGGAAUUGACGGGGGCCCGCACAAGCGGUGGAGCAUGUGGUUUAAUUCGAAGCAACGCGAAGAACCUUACCAGGUCUUGACAUCCCGAUGCUAUUCUUAGAGAUAGGAAGUUACUUCGGUACAUCGGAGACAGGUGGUGCAUGGUUGUCGUCAGCUCGUGUCGUGAGAUGUUGGGUUAAGUCCCGCAACGAGCGCAACCCUUAUUGUUAGUUGCCAUCAUUAAGUUGGGCACUCUAGCGAGACUGCCGGUAAUAAACCGGAGGAAGGUGGGGAUGACGUCAAAUCAUCAUGCCCCUUAUGACCUGGGCUACACACGUGCUACAAUGGUCGGUACAACGAGUUGCGAGCCGGUGACGGCAAGCUAAUCUCUGAAAGCCGAUCUCAGUUCGGAUUGGAGGCUGCAACUCGCCUCCAUGAAGUCGGAAUCGCUAGUAAUCGCGGAUCAGCACGCCGCGGUGAAUACGUUCCCGGGCCUUGUACACANCG
RNAcentral lists this ribosomal RNA (765 nucleotides) under uncultured bacterium. RNAcentral describes it as "bacterial SSU rRNA". It matches the Rfam family "Bacterial small subunit ribosomal RNA", at positions 627 to 1392 of the family's 1533-position model. The record is from RNAcentral.